RNAcentral lists this ribosomal RNA (1044 nucleotides) under Vibrio parahaemolyticus. Its description in RNAcentral is "bacterial LSU rRNA". It matches the Rfam family "Bacterial large subunit ribosomal RNA", at positions 1657 to 2683 of the family's 2925-position model. Lineage: Bacteria; Pseudomonadati; Pseudomonadota; Gammaproteobacteria; Vibrionales; Vibrionaceae. The record is from RNAcentral.
ACACAGGUGGUCGGGUAGAGAAUACCAAGGCGCUUGAGAGAACUCGGGUGAAGGAACUAGGCAAAAUGGUACCGUAACUUCGGGAGAAGGUACGCUCUUGAUGGUGAAGUCCCUUGCGGAUGGAGCUGACGAGAGUCGCAGAUACCAGGUGGCUGCAACUGUUUAUUAAAAACACAGCACUGUGCAAAAUCGUAAGAUGACGUAUACGGUGUGACGCCUGCCCGGUGCCGGAAGGUUAAUUGAUGGGGUUAGACUUCGGUCGAAGCUCUUGAUCGAAGCCCCGGUAAACGGCGGCCGUAACUAUAACGGUCCUAAGGUAGCGAAAUUCCUUGUCGGGUAAGUUCCGACCUGCACGAAUGGCGUAAUGAUGGCCACGCUGUCUCCACCCGAGACUCAGUGAAAUUGAAAUCGCUGUGAAGAUGCAGUGUACCCGCGGCUAGACGGAAAGACCCCGUGAACCUUUACUACAGCUUGGCACUGAACAUUGACCCUACAUGUGUAGGAUAGGUGGGAGGCUUUGAAGCAUGUACGCUAGUAUGUGUGGAGCCGUCCUUGAAAUACCACCCUUGUAGUGUUGAUGUUCUAACGUCGACCCCUUAUCGGGGUUGCGGACAGUGCCUGGUGGGUAGUUUGACUGGGGCGGUCUCCUCCCAAAGAGUAACGGAGGAGCACGAAGGUGGGCUAAUCACGGUUGGACAUCGUGAGGUUAGUGCAAUGGCAUAAGCCCGCUUGACUGCGAGAAUGACAAUUCGAGCAGGUGCGAAAGCAGGUCAUAGUGAUCCGGUGGUUCUGAAUGGAAGGGCCAUCGCUCAACGGAUAAAAGGUACUCCGGGGAUAACAGGCUGAUACCGCCCAAGAGUUCAUAUCGACGGCGGUGUUUGGCACCUCGAUGUCGGCUCAUCACAUCCUGGGGCUGAAGUCGGUCCCAAGGGUAUGGCUGUUCGCCAUUUAAAGUGGUACGCGAGCUGGGUUUAGAACGUCGUGAGACAGUUCGGUCCCUAUCUGCCGUGGGCGUUGGAAGAUUGAAGGGGGCUGCUCCUAGUA